This 658-nucleotide ribosomal RNA is filed under the name bacterium AWDR. Its description in RNAcentral is "bacterial SSU rRNA". It matches the Rfam family "Bacterial small subunit ribosomal RNA", at positions 100 to 772 of the family's 1533-position model. The record is from RNAcentral.
GAACGGGUGAGUAACACGUGAGUAAUCUGCCCUGUGCUCUGGGAUAGCCACCGGAAACGGUGAUUAAUACCGGAUAUGACCACUCCGCGCAUGUGGUGGUGGUGGAAAGUUUUUCGGCGCAGGAUGUGCUCGCGGCCUAUCAGCUUGUUGGUGAGGUAAUGGCUCACCAAGGCUUUGACGGGUAGCCGGCCUGAGAGGGUGACCGGUCACACUGGGACUGAGACACGGCCCAGACUCCUACGGGAGGCAGCAGUGGGGAAUAUUGGACAAUGGGCGGAAGCCUGAUCCAGCAACGCCGCGUGAGGGAUGACGGCCUUCGGGUUGUAAACCUCUUUCAGUACCGACGAAGCGUGAGUGACGGUAGGUACAGAAGAAGGACCGGCCAACUACGUGCCAGCAGCCGCGGUAAUACGUAGGGUCCGAGCGUUGUCCGGAAUUAUUGGGCGUAAAGGGCUCGUAGGCGGUUUGUCGCGUCGGGAGUGAAAACCAUGGGCUUAACUCAUGGCUUGCUUUCGAUACGGGCAGACUAGAGGUAUGCAGGGGAGAAUGGAAUUCCUGGUGUAGCGGUGAAAUGCGCAGAUAUCAGGAGGAACACCGGUGGCGAAGGCGGUUCUCUGGGCAUUACCUGACGCUGAGGAGCGAAAGUGUGGGGAGCGAA